AGCGAACGCUGGCGGCAGGCUUAACACAUGCAAGUCGAACGCUCAUCUUCGGAUGGGAGUGGCAGACGGGUGAGUAACACGUGGGAACGAACCCUUUGGUUCGGAAUAACUCAGGGAAACUUGAGCUAAUACCGGAUACGCCCUUUUGGGGAAAGGUUUACUGCCGAAGGAUCGGCCCGCGUCUGAUUAGCUAGUUGGUGGGGUAACGGCCUACCAAGGCGACGAUCAGUAGCUGGUCUGAGAGGAUGAUCAGCCACACUGGGACUGAGACACGGCCCAGACUCCUACGGGAGGCAGCAGUGGGGAAUAUUGGACAAUGGGCGCAAGCCUGAUCCAGCCAUGCCGCGUGAGUGAUGAAGGCCUUAGGGUUGUAAAGCUCUUUUGUCCGGGACGAUAAUGACGGUACCGGAAGAAUAAGCCCCGGCUAACUUCGUGCCAGCCGCCGCCGUAA
RNAcentral lists this ribosomal RNA (451 nucleotides) under uncultured bacterium. RNAcentral describes it as "partial 16S ribosomal RNA". It matches the Rfam family "Bacterial small subunit ribosomal RNA", at positions 29 to 523 of the family's 1533-position model. The record is from RNAcentral.